This 68-nucleotide transfer RNA is filed under the name Trithemis stictica. Its description in RNAcentral is "tRNA-Leu". RNAcentral also lists the same sequence under 3 other names. The record is from RNAcentral. Lineage: Eukaryota; Metazoa; Arthropoda; Insecta; Odonata; Libellulidae.
ACUAUUUUGGCAGAAAAGUGCCAUGAAUUUAGAAUUCAUAAAUGUAGGAUAAGACCUAUAGAUAGUAC